UACGAAGGGGGCUAGCGUUGCUCGGAAUCACUGGGCGUAAAGCGCACGUAGGCGGCUUGCUAAGUCAGGGGUGAAAUCCUGGAGCUCAACUCCAGAACUGCCUUUGAUACUGGCGAUCUCGAGUCCGGGAGAGGUGAGUGGAACUGCGAGUGUAGAGGUGAAAUUCGUAGAUAUUCGCAAGAACACCAGUGGCGAAGGCGGCUCACUGGCCCGAUACUGACGCUGAGGUGCGAAAGCGUGGGGAGCAAACAGG
RNAcentral lists this ribosomal RNA (253 nucleotides) under uncultured bacterium. RNAcentral describes it as "partial 16S ribosomal RNA". It matches the Rfam family "Bacterial small subunit ribosomal RNA", at positions 524 to 776 of the family's 1533-position model. The record is from RNAcentral.